AAUGGGCGGAGCUUCUUCGGUGACGUUGCGGGGUUGCUGCGGCUGUGUGUGUUUGUGUGUGUGUGUGUAUUUGUGUGUGUGUGUGUGUCACCCCGGCGACACGACGAAGCUCCACGCACGUUUUCUCAGCCGUGGGUCCUUCCAAACAGCCGGGUCAGAUACGCUCCAGGAUCCGGCAGUGAGAACAGUCCAACCGCCAAAAGACGGCAAGAGAAAGAAUCCCAUGGCUCGGCGUCUCAACUUGUCCGAGUGAAGAGCGUUUUUUCUUCCGACUUGCAAGUUUUUCUUGUUUUUCCAGCCAUCUUUGAGGUGACGACUGGCCAGAAAGGAUACAUCCCCUGCAAGGAUGAGCUGUCUGCACGUCUCCAGUGGCAGCUGGUAACUUCUGUCCAGGACUGAGAAUGAAGAAAGAAAGACAACAAUUCAAGCUGCAAGCAGCGAUGGACGGGACCACUUUGGCUGCUGCCCCCGCGACCCAAGCCCAGGAGAAGAGGUUCUACGAGCCUGGCUGCCCUGGUGGAACCAUUGUUGUAGGGUACAUGAGACUCCUGGGAUGAAAGGAGGAUCAUGUGCCUCUCAGUCCUCUCCAUGGAGGACGUGGAAGACAUCUACCUAUUUGGAACCAUGAUCACGCGGCACCUGCUGAUAGGGCUGGGCAUGUAUGAAGGAACACAAGAAUGAAGGAACACAAGAAUGAAGGAACACAAGAAUGUAGGAACACAAGAAUGAAGGAACACAAGAAUGUAGGAACACAAGAAUGUAGGAACACAAGAAUGAAGGAACACCAGAAUGUAGGAACAAAAAAAUGUAGGAAGACAAGUAUGUAGGAACACAAGUAACUAGGAACACAUGUAGGAACACAAGAAUGUAGGAACACAAGUAUGUAGGAACACAAGUAUGUAGGAACACAAGUAUGUAGGAACACAAGAAUGUAGGAACACAAGUAUGUAGGAACACAAGUAUGUAGGAACACAAGAAUGUAGGAACACAAGUAUGUAGGAACACAAGUAUGUAGGAACACAAGAAUGUAGGAACACAAGAAUGUAGGAACACCAGAAUGUAGGAACACAAGUAUGUAGGAACACAAGUAACUAGGAACACAAGUAUGUAGGAACACAAGUAACUAGGAACACAAGUAUGUAGGAACACAAGUAACUAGGAACACAAGUAUGUAGGAACAAAAAAAUGUAGGAACACAAGUAUGUAGGAACACAAGUAUGUAGGAACACAAGUAACUAGGAACACAAGAAUGUAGGAACACAAGUAUGUAGGAACACAAGUAACUAGGAACACCAGUAUGUAGGAACACAAGAAUGUAGGAACACAAGUAACUAGGAACACAAGUAUGUAGGAACACAAGAAUGUAGGAACACAAGAAUGAAGGAACACCAGAAUGUAGGAACAAGUAUGUAGGAACACAAGUAUGUAGGAACACAAGUAUGUAGGAACACAAGAAUGUAGGAACACAAGAAACUAGGAACACAAGUAACUAGGAACACAAGUAUGUAGGAACACAAGUAUGUAGGAACACAAGAAUGUAGGAACACCAGAAUGUAGGAACAAAAAAAUGUAGGAACACAAGUAUGUAGGAACACAAGUAACUAGGAACACAAGUAUGUAGGAACACAAGUAUGUAGGAACACAUGUAUGUAGGAACACAUGUAUGUAGGAACACAAGUUACUAGGAACACAAGUAACUAGGAACACAAGUAUGUAGGAACACAAGUAACUAGGAACACAAGAAUGUAGGAACACAAGAAUGUAGGAACACAAGUAACUAGGAACACAAGAAUGUAGGAACACAAGAAUGUAGGAACACCAGUAUGUAGGAACACCAGUAUGUAGGAACACCAGUAUGUAGGAACACAAGAAUGUAGGAACAGAAGUAUGUAGGAACACAAGAAUGUAGGAACACAAGAAUGUAGGAACACAAGAAUGUAGGAACACAAGAAUGUAGGAACACAAGAAUGUAGGAACACCAGUAUGUGGGAACACCAGUAUGUAGGAACACCAGUAUGUAGGAACACCAGUAUGUAGGAACACAAGUAACUAGGAACACAAGUAUGUAGGAACACAAGAAUGUAGGAACACAAGAAUGUAGGAACACAAGAAUGUAGGAACACAAGUAUGUAGGAACACAAGAAUGUAGGAACACAAGUAUGUAGGAACACAAGAAUGUAGGAACACAAGAAUGUAGGAACACAAGAAUGUAGGAACACAAGUAUGUAGGAACACAAAAAUGUAGGAACACAAGAAUGUAGGAACACAAAAAUGUAGGAACACAAGAAUGUAGGAACACAAGUAUGAAGGAACACCAGUAUGAAGGAACACCAGUAUGAAGGAACACAAGUAUGUAGGAACACCAGAAUGUAGGAACACCAGAAUGUAGGAACACCAGUAUGAAGGAACAAGAAUGUAGGAACACAAGAAUGUAGGAACACAAGAAUGUAGGAACACCAACAUGAAGGAAAACCAGGUUGGACUCCUUGCCAUGACAAUAAGUGCACAGAGACAGAUAAGACAGAGACAGAUAAGACAGAGACAGAUAAGACAGAGAGACAGAUAAGACAGAGACAGAUAAGACAGAGAGACAGAUAAGACACAGAGACAGAUAAGACAGAGAGACAGAUAAGACACAGAGACAGAUAAGACACAGAGACAGAUAAGACAGAGAGACAGAUAAGACAGAGAGACAGAUAAGACACAGAGACAGAUAAGACAGAGAGACAGAUAAGACAGAGAGACAGAUAAGACAGAGAGACAGAUAAGACAGAGACAGAUAAGACAGAGACAGAUAAGACAGAGACAGAUAAGACAGAGAGACAGAUAAGACACAGAGACAGAUAAGACAGAGAGACAGAUAAGACAGAGAGACAGAUAAGACAGACAGAUAAGACAGAGACAGAUAAGACAGAGAGACAGAGACAGAUAAGACAGAGACAGAUAAGACAGAGAGACAGAUAAGACAGAGAGACAGAUAAGACACAGAGACAGAUAAGACAGAGACCGAUAAGACAGAGACAGAUAAGACAGAGAGACAGAUAAGACAGAGAGACAGAUAAGACACAGAGACAGAUAAGACAGAGAGACAGAUAAGACAGAGAGACAGAUAAGACACAGAGACAGAUAAGACAGAGAGACAGAUAAGACACAGAGACAGAUAAGACAGAGAGACAGAUAAGACAGAGAGACAGAUAAGACAGAGACAGAUAAGACAGAGACAGAUAAGACAGAGAGACAGAUAAGACAGAGAGACAGAUAAGACACAGAGACAGAUAAGACAGAGACAGAUAAGACAGAGAGACAGAUAAGACAGAGACAGAUAAGACAGAGACAGAUAAGACAGAGAGACAGAUAAGACAGAGAGACAGAUAAGACAGAGAGACGGAUAAGACAGAGAGACAGAUAAGACAGAGACAGAUAAGACAGAGACAGAUAAGACAGAGAGACAGAUAAGACAGAGAGACAGAUAAGACAGAGAGACAGAUAAGACAGAGAGACAGAUAAGACAGAGACAGAUAAGACAGAGAGACAGAUAAGACAGAGAGACAGAUAAGACAGAGAGACAGAUAAGACAGAUAGACAGAUAAGACACAGAGACAGGUAAGACAGAGACAGAUAAGACAGAGAGACAGAUAAGACAGAGAGACAGAUAAGACAGAGAGACAGAUAAGACAGAUAAGACAGAGAGACAGAUAAGACAGAGAGACAGAUAAGACAGAUAAGACAGAGAGACAGAUAAGACAGAGAGACAGAGAUGUUCUAGCCCACAGACACAUUUUCUCCUCUAGAUUUGUCCCACUGAGUAUAAAUAAUUGACUUGACCUUGUCUAUACUGCUGACCUCUGUAGCUCCAAAGAAUAAACACAUUACUACUUUGUCUCCA
Molecule: long non-coding RNA, 3886 nt
Organism: Nerophis ophidion (straightnose pipefish)
Lineage: Eukaryota; Metazoa; Chordata; Actinopteri; Syngnathiformes; Syngnathidae
Exons: 4
Source: RefSeq, a predicted model, not a curated record